AUACUUACCUGGCAGGGGAGAUACCGUGAUCACGAAGGUGGUUUUCCCAGGGUGGGGCUUAUCCGUUGCACUCCGGAUGUGCUUAGCCCUGUGAUUUCCCCAAAUGUGGGAAAGUCGACUGCAUAAUUCGUGGUAGUGGGGGACCGCGUUCGCGCUUAAA
This is a small nuclear RNA of Cebus imitator (Panamanian white-faced capuchin), 160 nucleotides long. RefSeq annotates it as U1 spliceosomal RNA. NCBI's taxonomy places the organism in Eukaryota, Metazoa, Chordata, Mammalia, Primates, Cebidae. The record is from RefSeq and is a predicted model, not a curated record. The transcript has a single exon.